UAGAGUUUGAUCCUGGCUCAGGAUGAACGCUCCCGGCAGGCUUAACACAUGCAAGUCGAGGGGCAGCAUAAUGGAUAGCAAUAUCUAUGGUGGCGACCGGCGCACGGGUGCGUAACGCGUAUGCAACCUACCUUUAACAGGGGGAUAACACUGAGAAAUUGGUACUAAUACCCCAUAAUAUCAUAGAAGGCAUCUUUUAUGGUUGAAAAUUCCGAUGGUUAGAGAUGGGCAUGCGUUGUAUUAGCUAGUUGGUGGGUAACGGCUCACCAAGGCAACGAUCAGUAGCCGGCCUGAGAGGGUGAACGGCCACAUUGGAACUGAGACACGGUCCAAACUCCUACGGGAGGCAGCAGUGAGGAAUAUUGGUCAAUGGACGAGAGUCUGAACCAGCCAAGUAGCGUGCAGGAUGACGGCCCUAUGGGUUGUAAACUGCUUUUAUAGGGGGAUAAAGUGUGCCACGUGUGGCAUAUUGCAGGUACCCUAUGAAUAAGGACCGGCUAAUUCCGUGCCAGCAGCCGCGGUAAUACGGAAGGUCCGGGCGUUAUCCGGAUUUAUUGGGUUUAAAGGGAGCGUAGGCCGUUUGGUAAGCGUGUUGUGAAAUGUCGGGGCUCAACCUGGGCAUUGCAGCGCGAACUGCCAGACUUGAGUGCGCAGGAAGUAGGCGGAAUUCGUCGUGUAGCGGUGAAAUGCUUAGAUAUGACGAAGAACUACGAUUGCGAAGGCAGCCUGCUGUAGCGCAACUGACGCUGAAGCUCGAAAGCGUGGGUAUCGAACAGGAUUAGAUACCCUGGUAGUCCACGCGGUAAACGAUGGAUGCUCGCUGUUUGCGUCUGACGUAAGCGGCCAAGCGAAAGCGUUAAGCAUCCCACCUGGGGAGUACGCCGGCAACGGUGAAACUCAAAGGAAUUGACGGGGGCCCGCACAAGCGGAGGAACAUGUGGUUUAAUUCGAUGAUACGCGAGGAACCUUACCCGGGCUUGAACUGCCAGUGACUCAUGCAGAGACGCAUGUUUCUUCGGACACUGGCGGAGGUGCUGCAUGGUUGUCGUCAGCUCGUGCCGUGAGGUGUCGGCUUAAGUGCCAUAACGAGCGCAACCCUUCUCCCUGUUUGCCAUCGGGUAAUGCCGGGCACUCCAGGGACACUGCCAUCGUAAGAUGUGAGGAAGGUGGGGAUGACGUCAAAUCAGCACGGCCCUUACGUCCGGGGCUACACACGUGUUACAAUGGGCGGUACAGAAAGCAGCUACCCCGCGAGGGGAUGCCAAUCUCAAAAACCGUUCUCAGUUCGGACUGGAGUCUGCAACCCGACUCCACGAAGCUGGAUUCGCUAGUAAUCGCGCAUCAGCCAUGGCGCGGUGAAUACGUUCCCGGGCCUUGCACACACCGCCCGUCA
RNAcentral lists this ribosomal RNA (1393 nucleotides) under uncultured bacterium. RNAcentral describes it as "16S ribosomal RNA". It matches the Rfam family "Bacterial small subunit ribosomal RNA". The record is from RNAcentral.